UCCCUAGUGGCUCAGAUGGAAAAGCGUCUGUCUGCAAAGCAGGAGACUCGGGUUCAAUCCCUGAGUUGGGAA
This is a non-coding RNA of Bos taurus (domestic cattle), 72 nucleotides long. Lineage: Eukaryota; Metazoa; Chordata; Mammalia; Artiodactyla; Bovidae. The record is from Rfam.